CCUACGGGAGGCUGCAGUGGGGAAUAUUGCACAAUGGGGGACACCCUGAUGCAGCGACGCCGCGUGAGUGAAGAAGUAUUUCGGUACGUAAAGCUCUAUCAGCAGGGCAGAAAAUGACGGUACCUGACUAAGAAGCCCCGGCUAACUACGUGCCAGCAGCCGCGGUAAUACGUAGGGGGCAAGCGUUAUCCGGAUUUACUGGGUGUAAAGGGAGCGUAGACGGCAGCGCAAGUCUGGAGUGAAAUCCCAUGGCUUAACCAUGGAACUGCUUUGGAAACUGUGCAGCUAGAGUGCAGGAGAGGUAAGCGGAAUUCCUAGUGUAGCGGUGAAAUGCGUAGAUAUUAGGAGGAACACCAGUGGCGAAGGCGGCUUACUGGACUGUAACUGACGUUGAGGCUCGAAAGCGUGGGGAGCAAACAGGAUUAGAUACCCGAGUAGUC
RNAcentral lists this ribosomal RNA (440 nucleotides) under uncultured bacterium. Its description in RNAcentral is "partial 16S ribosomal RNA". It matches the Rfam family "Bacterial small subunit ribosomal RNA", at positions 338 to 795 of the family's 1533-position model. The record is from RNAcentral.